GACGUAGGGCGCGAGCGUUGUCCGGAUUUAUUGGGCGUAAAGAGCUCGUAGGCGGCUUGUCGCGUCGUCCGUGAAAACCUGCAGCUCAACUGCAGGCUUGCGGUCGAUACGGGCAGGCUCGAGUUCGGUAGGGGAGACUGGAAUUCCUGGUGUAGCGGUGAAAUGCGCAGAUAUCAGGAAGAACACCCGUGGCGAAGGCGGCUCUCUGGGACGGUACUGACGCUGAGACGCGAAAGCGUGGGGAGCGAACAGG
Molecule: ribosomal RNA, 253 nt
Filed under: uncultured bacterium
Lineage: Bacteria
Description: partial 16S ribosomal RNA
Rfam family: Bacterial small subunit ribosomal RNA
Source: RNAcentral